UUCAUCGCUCGCGAUGUUUAACUGACAUGAUUGUGGGACGUCCUACCGGUGGGUUAGCUUUUCGGAGCUACCCAGCUAAUAUCCCAUCGCGUUGCUCUUCACCGAGUGACGAGGUGGGCCGGUACGUUUACUUUGAACAAAUUAGAGUGCUUAAAGCAGGCUACUUUUGCCUGAAUAUUGUGUGCAUGGAAUAAUGGAAUAGGACCUCGGUUCUAU
RNAcentral lists this ribosomal RNA (216 nucleotides) under Encarsia sp. D2672. RNAcentral's name for it is "Dirphys sp. D2672 partial 18S ribosomal RNA". The stretch from base 114 to 216 matches the Rfam family "Eukaryotic small subunit ribosomal RNA", at positions 738 to 839 of the family's 1831-position model. The record is from RNAcentral. Lineage: Eukaryota; Metazoa; Arthropoda; Insecta; Hymenoptera; Aphelinidae.